GGCGAGGUAGCUCAGUUGGUUAGAGCGCAGGAUUCAUACCCCUGAGGUCGACAGUUCGACCCUGUCUCUCGCUA
This 74-nucleotide transfer RNA is filed under the name Flavobacterium sp. RNAcentral describes it as "tRNA-Met". It matches the Rfam family "tRNA". Rfam says of the family: Transfer RNA (tRNA) molecules are approximately 80 nucleotides in length. Their secondary structure includes four short double-helical elements and three loops (D, anti-codon, and T loops). Lineage: Bacteria; Pseudomonadati; Bacteroidota; Flavobacteriia; Flavobacteriales; Flavobacteriaceae. The record is from RNAcentral.